This 547-nucleotide ribosomal RNA is filed under the name uncultured bacterium. RNAcentral's name for it is "bacterial SSU rRNA". It matches the Rfam family "Bacterial small subunit ribosomal RNA", at positions 953 to 1502 of the family's 1533-position model. The record is from RNAcentral.
GAAGCAACGCGAAGAACCUUACCAGGUCUUGACAUCCCGGCGACCGUCCUAGAGAUAGGAUUUUGCUUAGGCACACCGGUGACAGGUGGUGCAUGGUUGUCGUCAGCUCGUGUCGUGAGAUGUUGGGUUAAGUCCCGCAACGAGCGCAACCCUUAUUGUUAGUUGCCAUCGUUGAGUUGGGCACUCUAGCGAGACUGCCGGUAAUAAACCGGAGGAAGGUGGGGAUGACGUCAAAUCAUCAUGCCCCUUAUGACCUGGGCUACACACGUGCUACAAUGGCUGGUACAACGAGUCGCAAGUCGGUGACGGCAAGCUAAUCUCUUAAAGCCAGUCUCAGUUCGGAUUGUAGGCUGCAACUCGCCUACAUGAAGUCGGAAUCGCUAGUAAUCGGGGAUCAGCACGCCGCGGUGAAUACGUUCCCGGGCCUUGUACACACCGCCCGUCACACCACGAGAGUUUGUAACACCCGAAGUCGGUGAGGUAACCUUUUAGGAGCCAGCCGCCUAGGGUGGGUUUAUAUUGGGGUGAAGUCGUAACAAGGUAGCCG